RNAcentral lists this transfer RNA (64 nucleotides) under Paroster cf. skaphites RL-2008. RNAcentral describes it as "tRNA-Leu". The record is from RNAcentral. Lineage: Eukaryota; Metazoa; Arthropoda; Insecta; Coleoptera; Dytiscidae.
UUAUUACUUUGGCAGAUUAGUGCAAUGAAUUUAGAAUUCAAAAAUAUAAUUUUUAUUGUAAGUA